GACGAACGCUGGCGGCGUGCUUAACACAUGCAAGUCGAGCGGUAAGGCCCUUCGGGUACGACGAGCGGCGAACGGGUGAGUAACACGUGGGUGACCUGCCUCUAGCUCUGGGAUAAGCCUGGGAAACUGGGUCUAAUACCGGAUAUGACUCCACGGCGCAUGUUGUGGGGUGGAAAGCCUUGUGUGGCUAGAGAUGGGCCCGCGGCCUAUCAGCUUGUUGGUGGGGUGAUGGCCUACCAAGGCGACGACGGGUAGCCGGCCUGAGAGGGCGACCGGCCACACUGGGACUGAGACACGGGCCCAGACUCCUACGGGAGGCAGCAGUGGGGAAUCUUGCGCAAUGGGCGAAAGCCUGACGCAGCGACGCCGCGUGGGUGAUGAAGGCC
RNAcentral lists this ribosomal RNA (386 nucleotides) under uncultured bacterium. Its description in RNAcentral is "bacterial SSU rRNA". It matches the Rfam family "Bacterial small subunit ribosomal RNA", at positions 28 to 416 of the family's 1533-position model. The record is from RNAcentral.